GAUUAAGCCAUGCAUGUGUAAGUAUAAAUAAUUUUACUUUGAAACUGCGAAUGGCUCAUUAUAUCAGUUAUAGUUUAUUAGAAAUACUUUACUACUUGGAUAACCGUAGUAAUUCUAGGGCUAAUACAUGAMUAAAUCCUCAACUUCGGAAGAGGUGUGUUUAUUAGUAUGAAAACCAUAUAUCUUCGGAUAUAAUAGUGAGUAAUAAUAACCUUUCGUAUCGUAUGUCGUAAGAUAACGAUAGUUCUUUCAAGUUUCUGCCCUAUCAGCUUUCGAUGGUAGUAUAUGGGACUACCAUG
This 299-nucleotide ribosomal RNA is filed under the name Blastocystis sp. subtype 5. Its description in RNAcentral is "partial small subunit ribosomal RNA". Lineage: Eukaryota; Bigyra; Opalinata; Blastocystidae. The record is from RNAcentral.